UUUAUUUUGAAAAGAUAUGUUACCUUCAAUUAAACUUAAAAACUAAUUCCUACUUCCAAUUCGUAGGGUUAAAAUUGUAAAACUAUUAAUUCGUUGUUGUAAAUAUGUAUGUUAAUUUUUUAAUGAUUUAAUGAACGUGUUUCGUUAUGGAUUAAAUAUAUUUUUGUUUAUU
Maniola jurtina (meadow brown) is the source of this 172-nucleotide long non-coding RNA. RefSeq lists it as uncharacterized. The transcript is spliced from 3 exons. NCBI's taxonomy places the organism in Eukaryota, Metazoa, Arthropoda, Insecta, Lepidoptera, Nymphalidae. The record is from RefSeq and is a predicted model, not a curated record.